AUUGAACGCUGGCGGCAUGCUUUACACAUGCAAGUCGAACGGCAGCGCGGGCUUCGGCCUGGCGGCGAGUGGCGAACGGGUGAGUAAUGCAUCGGAACGUGCCCAGUAGUGGGGGAUAGCCCGGCGAAAGCCGGAUUAAUACCGCAUACGACCUGAGGGUGAAAGCGGGGGACCGAAAGGCCUCGCGCUAUUGGAGCGGCCGAUGUCGGAUUAGCUAGUUGGUGGGGUAAAGGCUUACCAAGGCGACGAUCCGUAGCGGGUCUGAGAGGAGGACAGCCACACUGGGACUGAGACACGGCCCAGACUCCUACGGGAGGCAGCAGUGGGGAAUUUUGGACAAUGGGGGCAACCCUGAUCCAGCCAUGCCGCGUGCGGGAAGAAGGCCUUCGGGUUGUAAACCGCUUUUGUUCGGGAAGAAAUCCUCUGGGCUAAUACCCCGGGGGGAUGACGGUACCGGAAGAAUAAGCACCGGCUAACUACGUG
This 483-nucleotide ribosomal RNA is filed under the name uncultured bacterium. RNAcentral describes it as "partial 16S ribosomal RNA". It matches the Rfam family "Bacterial small subunit ribosomal RNA", at positions 28 to 507 of the family's 1533-position model. The record is from RNAcentral.